This 464-nucleotide ribosomal RNA is filed under the name uncultured bacterium. RNAcentral's name for it is "partial 16S ribosomal RNA". It matches the Rfam family "Bacterial small subunit ribosomal RNA", at positions 28 to 507 of the family's 1533-position model. The record is from RNAcentral.
GACGAACGCUGGCGGCGUGCUUAACACAUGCAAGUCGUACGGUAAGGCCCUUUCGGGGGUACACGAGUGGCGAACGGGUGAGUAACACGUGAGUAACCUGCCCACAACUUUGGGAUAACGCUAGGAAACUGGUGCUAAUACUGGAUAUGUGCCCCUGCUGCAUGGUGGGGGUUGGAAAGCUCCGGCGGUUGUGGAUGGACUCGCGGCCUAUCAGCUUGUUGGUGGGGUAGUGGCCUACCAAGGCGGCGACGGGUAGCCGGCCUGAGAGGGUGACCGGCCACAUUGGGACUGAGAUACGGCCCAGACCCCUACGGAGGCAGCAGUGGGGAAUAUUGCACAAUGGGCGCAAGCCUGAUGCAGCAACGCCGCGUGCGGGAUGACGGCCUUCGGGUUGUAAACCGCUUUCAGCAGGGACGAAGCUUUUUGUGACGGUACCUGCAGAAGAAGCACCGGCUAACUACGUG